This 67-nucleotide transfer RNA is filed under the name Ilyoplax deschampsi. RNAcentral's name for it is "tRNA-Thr". It matches the Rfam family "tRNA". Rfam says of the family: Transfer RNA (tRNA) molecules are approximately 80 nucleotides in length. Their secondary structure includes four short double-helical elements and three loops (D, anti-codon, and T loops). Further hydrogen bonds mediate the characteristic L-shaped molecular structure. tRNAs have two regions of fundamental functional importance: the anti-codon, which is responsible for specific mRNA codon recognition, and the 3' end, to which the tRNAs corresponding amino acid is attached (by aminoacyl-tRNA synthetases). tRNAs cope with the degeneracy of the genetic code in two manners: having more than one tRNA (with a specific anti-codon) for a particular amino acid; and 'wobble' base-pairing, i.e. permitting non-standard base-pairing at the 3rd anti-codon position. Lineage: Eukaryota; Metazoa; Arthropoda; Malacostraca; Decapoda; Dotillidae. The record is from RNAcentral.
GUUUUAAUAGUUUAAAGUAAAACAUUGGUCUUGUAAACCAAUAAUGAAAUAUAAUUUUCUUAAAACU